Molecule: long non-coding RNA, 295 nt
Filed under: Nicotiana benthamiana
Lineage: Eukaryota; Viridiplantae; Streptophyta; Magnoliopsida; Solanales; Solanaceae
Description: long non-coding RNA (NBEN_LNC027667)
Source: RNAcentral
CAUAGUUCCUGCUCUUCAGCUAUCUUAUCGCGCAAUGGCUCAAACCAUCCUAAAAACAAUGACUUCACAUAAGGCAAAUUGGGUGCUAAUUUCUGCUCACACAUAUCAAACAAAAGCUCCUUAUAUUCCUUUGCUGCUUGUUCCCAUGACUCUGUCUCUACUUUCUCCUUUGCUGCUUGUUCCCAUGCCUCUGUCUCUACUUUAACUUGCCUCCUUUUAAGUGUUUGAUACUUACUAUGGCCCAUACCACUAGACAGCAUCCUUUGCUUCCGCCGCCUAAAAGCAAACUGCUUUU